This is a long non-coding RNA of Triticum dicoccoides, 1212 nucleotides long. RefSeq lists it as uncharacterized. The transcript is spliced from 6 exons. Lineage: Eukaryota; Viridiplantae; Streptophyta; Magnoliopsida; Poales; Poaceae. The record is from RefSeq and is a predicted model, not a curated record.
AGAAGGCCCGUCUAGGUGUACCUGUGCCACAUGUGUAAGAUUGUCAGAAAUUGAUUUUUUUGUGUGUUGUCUCUUUACUCCCCCGCCUACCUCAAUGGCAGAUGUGAAGAACCACCUCAACCAGAUGUGCUUUGCCGCGUCAUGCUAGAACUAUAAUUGCCGGCUGCCGUGCAAAACCACCUUUGGCGAUCAAGAUUGAUGACCUGAUGUCACAUGGCGGCUGGUUAGCCGGCGGCGGCUGGAGCCAUCAUUGACCACGACCGUGCCAGGAGCACCCGGGAAAAGGCGAGGACAUGUUGGUACUGAUGGAAUAAUGUAGAUUGGGUCGUCUUCCUCCAGAAACAUAUUACACAAUAUACUUAAGUCGAUUGAUCCUAUUUGGUAAAAAUGCCCCUCAUUUGCUUGAUUAAACUCUACUUGGUAAAAUUAAUUGAGUUGGGAACAGUAACAUAUAUACAUCUACUAUGUCUGGUAUCUAUCUGGUUAUAUUAAACUGACAGUUUAUUCUUCUUGCUGGAAGGAUAUGUCGUGAAAGAUGAUCCAGAUGCUAUUAAAGUUGUAACCUUUGACUGUCCAUGAUAUGGUUGCUCUUGCUUCAUCUAAAUAGUAUGUCUGGACUGCCAUGAGACCGCGAUUGGUGUAGGAAAUCUUGAAAGCUAUCAUAUUGGUCACAAGAACUUGCAAUACAUCAAUGCACUAUUCUUUUGAAUUUUUUAGUGACACCACAACUACCACCUCUUCACUAAAUGACAGAGGUUGCUAGCAACUGCACCUGGAAAGAUUGUAUUUAGAGGUAUGUUUCCUGUAUCAAGUGCAUGUCAAGGGUUGAAAGAAUUAAUUCGUACAACAUUAUUCACUGGAGGUAGCAUCACGAUGACACAUAAUUAAGGGCUCAUAUUAAUUGGGAGUGUCUAAAAAUUUACCGGCUAUUCUGAUGUUCCAUAAAUCGUUAGUUUACUGAAAAAGGAAGGAGCUACCAUCGCGCUUUGAUUGUGUUCAUCCUGGACUAAUCAUGAUCAAUUUGAUGAGCUCUCCUUUGCUCUGAUGAACUGUACCCCAAAUUCUUCCAUACUCUAAUGAUCUUGUGUUCAAGGAGCAUCAACUACAUGUUAUGUCAGGCUUGACCAUAUCAGGUGAAGGGAGUGACAAGCAAGUACUUUGUUGACAAUGAGGAGAAGACAAGCAAUAUGAAAAGAUAACCAUGUACACAAC